GUGAAGAACGCAGCGAAAUGCGAUAAGUAAUGUGAAUUGCAGAAUUCAGUGAAUCAUCGAAUCUUUGAACGCACAUUGCGCCCCCUGGUAUUCCGGGGGGCAUGCCUGUUCGAGCGUCAUUACAACCCUCAAGCUCUGCUUGGUGUUGGGCCCCGCCGCCCCGGCGGGCCCUAAAAUCAGUGGCGGUGCCGUCCGGCUCCGAGCGUAGUAAUUCUUCUCGCUCUGGAGGUCCGGGUGUGUGCUCGCCAGCAACCCCCAAUUUUUUUCAGGUUGACCUCGGAUCAGGUAGGGAUACCCGCUGAACUUAAGCAUAUCAAUAAGCGGAGGA
Molecule: unclassified non-coding RNA, 328 nt
Filed under: soil metagenome
Description: partial contains 5.8S ribosomal RNA, internal transcribed spacer 2, and large subunit ribosomal RNA
Rfam family: 5.8S ribosomal RNA (bases 2-119)
Source: RNAcentral